AUGACUGAAGAAAUAGGAGCCAAGCCCACAAUGUUGAAAUUUUUUGUGUUUAAUAUUGAACAGCUGUCAAUAUCACUAGGCAGUCAUCAAGACGAGCACACCACGGAUUUGGGGCUGGUGUGGGUUUUCCUUGUUGCUCUUUUAAAACGUGUCCAGUGUGAAGUGCAGCUGGUGGAGACUGGGGGUGGCCUGAUACAGCCUGGAAGGUCCCUGAGACUCUCCUGUAUAGCCUCUGGAUUCACAUUCAGUAACCACUGGAUGACAUGGAUCAGACAGGCUGGAGGCAAGGGGCGGGAGUGGGUUGGAGAAAUUAAUAAAGAUAGCAGUCAAAUCAACUAUGCACCAUCCCUGAAGGGCCGAUUCACUAUCUCCAGAGACAAUGCCAAGAACACACUGUACCUGCAAAUGAGCAGUGUGAGAACUGAGGACACCGCCACUUACUACUGUGCUAGAGACACAGUGAGGGGAUCUCAGUGUGAACCCAGACAUCAACCUCACUGUGAGGCUGCUCUGGGCCACCAGGGGGCGCACAGCACACAGAAAACAGGUUCACUUCAGGAGAUUAUGCAGAUAAGACUAGAUUAA
Onychomys torridus (southern grasshopper mouse) is the source of this 585-nucleotide non-coding RNA. The record is from the annotation of a RefSeq genome assembly. NCBI's taxonomy places the organism in Eukaryota, Metazoa, Chordata, Mammalia, Rodentia, Cricetidae.